GACGGCUUGGUUUCUGUAGCCUUUACAGGUCUAUAGUCGGCUCCCACACAGAUCACAUUAUGAGGGUGAGAACUUGGUCUACUGAAUCCAAAGCCAGGCAUGAUGAAUAGUAGCCACAGACAAGAACAAAUCUACUCCAUGUUAGGGCCAGUUCUGCCCCUAUUAUUCAGGUAGGCAAUGAAUCACCAUGUUUUGCUUUCAGGCCUUCCUGUGAGGGCGGUGUGUGCUGAUGGAAGAAAUCACAGGCUCUAAAGUCAGAUAAACCUGGAUUUGCAGUUAUGACUCAGCCACUGCCAGGCCAGAGGCCUCACUGGGGCUCAGUUUUCUCAUCUGUAAACUGGGCUAUCGUGGAUACCUCCCAAAGGUUGAGAGCCAUCCAUGGGCUUCUUGGAAAAGGAGAAGGAAUCUGGAAGCAGCAAGAGGAGGGGUUUUCCUGACUUCCUGGACCCUGGUGCAAAUGGAGCCCACACUUGAGAAGAGCAGAAGUUUCAGAUAAGAAAGGAAAACUGAGGCACCGGGAGGUCAACGCCUGCUCAGGGUCACAACUGCGUCACUCCGGCGGGACUUUCAACCCGCAUUAGCUGUCUGCUUCGCAGGAUCCCAGCCACCUCCCGGCCGUCACUACCGCACUAAAAUGCUGUGUCACGCUGGAGCAGCAGGUUCCCCGUUAAAGUGAAAAAAACAGGAAGGAGGGAAGAGAAGAGAACCUUCGCGAUAAACUCCGGUAAGGAGGCGGAGGUGCACAAGCAGAAACACUUCCUGGUGAUCGUUACUCAGCAUUUUGUGG
This is a long non-coding RNA of Lagenorhynchus albirostris (white-beaked dolphin), 787 nucleotides long. RefSeq lists it as uncharacterized. The record is from RefSeq and is a predicted model, not a curated record. The transcript is spliced from 3 exons. NCBI's taxonomy places the organism in Eukaryota, Metazoa, Chordata, Mammalia, Artiodactyla, Delphinidae.